AACGAACGCUGGCGGCAUGCCUAACACAUGCAAGUCGAACGAGACCUUCGGGUCUAGUGGCGCACGGGUGCGUAACGCGUGGGAACCUGCCCUUAGGUUCGGAAUAACUCCCCGAAAGGGGUGCUAAUACCGGAUAAUGUCUUCGGACCAAAGAUUUAUCGCCUUUGGAUGGGCCCGCGUUGGAUUAGCUAGUUGGUAGGGUAAAAGCCUACCAAGGCGACGAUCCAUAGCUGGUCUGAGAGGAUGAUCAGCCACACUGGGACUGAGACACGGCCCAGACUCCUACGGGAGGGAGCAGUGGGGAAUAGUGGACAAUGGGCGAAAGCCUGAUGCAGCAAUGCCGCGUGAGUGAUGAAGGCCUUAGGGUUGUAAAGCUCUUUUACCCGGGAUGAUAAUGACAGUACCGGGAGAAUAAGCUCCGGCUAACUCCGUG
RNAcentral lists this ribosomal RNA (433 nucleotides) under uncultured bacterium. Its description in RNAcentral is "partial 16S ribosomal RNA". It matches the Rfam family "Bacterial small subunit ribosomal RNA", at positions 29 to 507 of the family's 1533-position model. The record is from RNAcentral.